This 343-nucleotide unclassified non-coding RNA is filed under the name soil metagenome. RNAcentral describes it as "partial contains 5.8S ribosomal RNA, internal transcribed spacer 2, and large subunit ribosomal RNA". The stretch from base 1 to 120 matches the Rfam family "5.8S ribosomal RNA", at positions 35 to 154 of the family's 154-position model. The record is from RNAcentral.
GAUGAAGAACGUAGCGAAAUGCGAUAAGUAAUGUGAAUUGCAGAAUCCAGUGAAUCAUCGAAUCUUUGAACGCACAUUGCGCCCGCCAGCAUUCUGGCGGGCAUGCCUGUUCGAGCGUCAUUUCAACCCUCGACCUCCCUUUGGGGAAGUCGGCGUUGGGGACCGGCAGCACACCGCCGGCCCUGAAAUGGAGUGGCGGCCCGUCCGCGGCGACCUCUGCGUAGUAAACCAACUCGCACCGGAACCCCGACGUGGCCACGCCGUAAAACACCCAACUUCUGAACGUUGACCUCGAAUCAGGUAGGACUACCCGCUGAACUUAAGCAUAUCAAUGAGCGGAGGA